This 312-nucleotide unclassified non-coding RNA is filed under the name Hevea brasiliensis (rubber tree). Lineage: Eukaryota; Viridiplantae; Streptophyta; Magnoliopsida; Malpighiales; Euphorbiaceae. The record is from RNAcentral.
UUGUGAAUCGCUGGAUUGAACUGAGAAAGCUGUGCAAUUCUGAAGUGGAAAAUGGACGGAGUUCAUGAGGCUACGGUGGCGGGGAAUUUGACGUCACCGCCUUUUCUGAACAAGACGUAUGAUAUGGUGGAUGAUCCGAGUACGGAUAAGAUCGUGUCGUGGAGUCCUACGAAUAAUAGUUUUGUGGUUUGGGAUCCUCCGGAGUUUGCUAAAGACCUACUUCCGAAGUACUUUAAGCAUAAUAACUUCUCCAGCUUUGUUCGGCAGCUGAAUACUUAUGGUUUUAGAAAGGUUGAUCCAGACCGCUGGGAA